RNAcentral lists this ribosomal RNA (253 nucleotides) under uncultured bacterium. RNAcentral's name for it is "partial 16S ribosomal RNA". It matches the Rfam family "Bacterial small subunit ribosomal RNA", at positions 524 to 776 of the family's 1533-position model. The record is from RNAcentral.
UACGAAGGGGGCUAGCGUUGUUCGGAAUUACUGGGCGUAAAGCGCGCGCAGGCGGUCUUCCAAGUCAGUGGUGAAAGCCCGGAGCUCAACUCCGGAACUGCCAUUGAAACUGUUAGACUUGAGGAUGAGAGAGGUGAGUGGAAUUCCCAGUGUAGAGGUGAAAUUCGUAGAUAUUGGGAAGAACACCGAUGGCGAAGGCAGCCAUCUGGACCGACACUGACGCUGAGGCGCGAAAGCGUGGGGAGCAAACAGG